UGCGCCCAUGGUGGCAGCAGCUGUAGGAGAUGGGGAAGAGAUCCUGCUCUCUCUUUAUUUACUUGACAACCGCGGAUGGGGAGGAUGCGGGUGGGGUGAAUUACAUGGAGAAUGGAGUAGGCGGCGAGCUCCACAAAGGGGAUGAGGGGCGUGGGGCUGAAGGUAUGGUUCGCUACAGCGGUGGUGACACGGAACCUACCACGCCCACCGGAUCUCGGUUGUUGCUCUCUCUCGAUCUGUUCGAUACUCGGUUGUUUCUUUACUCUCCAUCCAGAUCCUGCAGAGGCGCCUUGGGCUGGUGAGGUCGCUGGUGUUGGCAACGAUGCUGCAGAUCGGGUCGCACCUCUUUGUCACCUGGAGCUUCCCCGAGGUUCCCGGUACUAUUGAUGGUGUCUCUUUCUGUUCUUAUUACUGCUGCACAAAGCUGUUGAGCUUGGUCGUUUUCCUUUCUUGGUUGUGUUUGCAGACCAGGACACACAUCGUGGUGACUUGGUCAGCUCCUUGGUCAUCAUCUGGUCCAUCACCGAGGUAUGUAUUCACCAUUGACUUCACUCAUAUCAUACGCUCCUUGAAAGCUAGGGACUACAGUUGUUCAUAAUAAAUGUAUUAUCAAGCCGCGAGGCGCUCCUGUUGAUGUGCACACUAGCUCGAGAUGUGUCCCUCAAUUAAUGCAAAUGCGAGUAUGCGAUGACGAUUUGACAUGUGUGUGUUGCUGCUUCAAAUUGAAUUUCUAGAUACUAAUGAGGAAUUUAACAAAGAAUUAUUAUAGCUUAAUUUACUAUACUUCACUAUUAUAUCAGGGGAGAUGUGGUUACAUCUUAAUUUACUAUGCUUCAAACUGUUUUCACGCUAUUGUAUGGUGCUUGCGAGACCUUGCCAUCUAAGGUUGCUCCAAAAUAACGGCUAGGCAACGCCUUAAACUAUGUGUUUGGUGAAACUUUUAAAUAGGAGAAUAUAGUGGAAACAUUGCAAUACCCACACACUUGUUCAGAAGUGUUUUGAAGCGUUGUAACCGGAGGCCAGUUUCAAGUAAAAUAAAAAAGGGAGUAUUGACAAUGUGUCUUCAGUAUGUUAUGUAGAAGGUAGUGUCCCACCUUUGUAUUUUCAUAUGGUUUGUUUACCACAGGCCAUCAGUUUUUGUAAUUUUGUGUGCUCGUUCUCUGAAAAUUAUUUCAUGUUAUUUGUACUCAGGUGCGUAACCUAACUACUCCCUCUGUCCCGCAAUUCUUAUCUGGACCACCACCAACCGGAGACGACGGGAACCGUAGCUGCUGCAACAACCUGUUAACCCGCCGGUGGCAGCAAGCUAAAGGCUCCCCCUUGCAAGGUCAAAGGAGAAGUACAACAGCGACAAUGUCCUGGAGCAGCACGGCGAUCUGGACGGGAAGGAGGGUAGCAGCAGGACGAGGGGCGCAACUAAGCCGUCUUGCUCUCUUCGGUCGACCCUCCAUGACGGACGCCACAAGAUCUUCUGUCUGCAGAAAGUGAAUUACUUGCUCAUCUAUUUAUUCUUUUGAAAUUGCAGCUGAAUUUUGUCAAACCUAGAGCGGGAUUUUGCAGCAAGAGAUAUCUCUGACAACCACUGUGCAAUCAUCUCAACGAUAAAAAUUUAGUGUAAAAUUUUGUCAAACUGAAUCUUUCUCAACAGAUUUAGUUAUUUUGCUAAAAAAUCAGUUUUGUAUCCUGCUCUGAAUAUAAAGUGUACUGCUUAUUGCAAGCAAGUUUAAAAUUUCAGUCUAAAAGUCAGUUAACUGAAUUUUGACACAAUAGUUAACUGAAUUUACUGUCAUCCCUAUCAAAUGCAGUUUAUCCGUUCGUCCUGCUUCUCACUUUCUUCUAUGUUUUCUAAGAAAAAAUUAACUUCCUUCUGUAGUUAUUCACAUGAUAUAUGUGCCAACUUCCUUUCGCAAAAUCUUGCCAUCUUGACCAACAUUUUGACAGGCUUACUGCUAAUCUAGGGCCACAUGAGACUUUGUUGGGUUAGUUAUUUUUCGCACCAACCAACAAUGCAUAGAAAUCUGCUAGAUUACCCAAGUCCAUAGCAAAGGAGGAAGAAAGUGAAAUGUGAGGCUGAUCAACUUAUCCAUCAGCUAGAUAACCCCAAGUGUAACUGGGUUCAGGGCCUGUACUUGCUUACCGAUGGAAAAGGACAAAUAAUUGGAUUGCUGUUUUCAACAAUGGGUGUUGAUGUUUGCAUGAUCAGUGUUAAUCCAAGGUAAUCAAAGUACUGAAUCACUCCUUUCUGGAGUAUUGUCAUUUAACAAUAAACUGAGUUACUGCCAUUUAAGAGUAAAUUGAAUUUAUCUUGAGUAUGCAGUAAACUUGCUAGAGUACAAAUUUAUGCAUUACUCCAUAUUUUCUGAAGUACUGUCAUUUACUCCAUACUCCAAAUUUAUGCAUUAUUCCUUGCUGGAGUAUUUUUAAAAUACUCCUAGUGUUAAAAUCGUCAUGUUGUAUAAACUUGGCAUCUUGUUGUUCACUAUAUUUCUUUUCACUGAUGCAUUUUCCAUGUUAUUUUAAUCUGACAUACCACAUUAAUUUCUUAUUCAACGAUGUUCUUAACUAUUUACAGGUUGUAACAAAAUUUCUCACUAUGGAGUCCUUGCUUGACGAGAGCGUUGACAAGGAGAUAAAUUUGCAGAUCGAAUGAGGUGGAACUCCUUUAACAGUAACGCUGAAGGUAGUUUGCAAGCUUGCCAUGUCUUGUUUAAUCUUCAUACCAGAGAGCAGUAUAUAUGAUCGAUUACUCCGUGUAAUAAUGCAUCUUUGACUUUGCAGAUCGAAAUGUAGGAACUAGUUAUUUUGGAAGAACUAGUUAUGUAGGAACAGUCUAUAUAAGGAUGUAUAUAGAUAUAUUUUAAAAUAUUUAUCUAUUUAUUUCGUUUCAUACGUACUCUGUAGUAAAAUCUUUAAAAGAUCUUAUAUUUAAAAACAAAGGAGGUUGAGUAUUGGUCAGAUGCUUAUAGUAGGCCUAAUUAAGUAGCCCAUUGUUUAUCACAUACAUGCAUGAACCUUUUGUUUGAGAAUCAUACGUGCAUGGAUGUUGCCCAGGUAAACCAAGACGCACGGUAGAAUCUUCCCACUGUUUAUCAUGUAUGUAAGCUGUCUCACAGACAUCGAGCCUGGGCAAGUGCCCGGGGUGGUCGGGCGCUGGCUCCGCCACUGCCUACUUUCAUUGUUCUUUUCUGAGCCGAAUAGCUUAUGCUCUCAGAGUAUCAGGAAAAGAAUAUGUAAUUGUUUCUAUGGUAUUUGGCCUUCAUGUAUAUUUCAUACCGUAUCUCCGUAUGCCUUCUUUCUUGUGCAGUAAACAUAAAAAUAUAUGCUACAUUAUAAUAUUCUGUACCAGGUGCACGCACACUUUGCAUGCAUUUUUACAUCAUGGUGAUUAGAAGCAGAAUAGACAAUUAUUCAGAGACGUAAAGAUUAGAAUAAAAAAGAUUCACAUGUAUUUUAUCUGUACCUUCAUUACUAGAAGUUGUAUGCUUUCUUAUGUUUGAUUAUUUGAAUUACCAGGAUGAUCUGAAGCACCCAAAAGAAGUAGAGGACAUGACGGGAGAAGGGAACAAGAAGCUUCGUUUAUCAUUGAUGUUAUGUUGUGCACUUGUUGGGCCUUGAACCUUUAUGUGUAGAGGAGUCGAUGAAUGAUGUAUUGUAAUUCAUGUGAUGUGUUACUGAAAUGAAAUAUAUACAACUAAUUUGCAAUAUUUUAUUCUUGUGUAUUUGUUUUUUAAUUGGUCUAUCCUGAGAUAUACAUGCUUUUAGUAAAAUAAUGCAUCAGCCUAAACAAUUUAUACAUUUUUAAUAAUAAAAUAGUAUUAGUGGAGGCCCAUGUAGACUAGAUUAUUGAAUUGGGCUGUGAAAUUUAUGAUGAUUUCAUUUGGUCACUAGCAAAGCCAUGUCAGCAUAGCCACGUCAGAUCCUACGUGGCUCACACAAAUAGGUAAUGACCAAACCAAAAUUUUGGUCAAUAGAGAUCUAUGACCAAAUUUUUCGAAAGGUCAAGUUUGUUCAUUCUUGACGGCCAACUUUUGACCUUGUAAAUUUGGUCAAAAAAAGGUCAAUAAACAACAACAAUGACGAAUCAAUGACCAAUAUAGGGAGUCAUAAUUGACCUUAUUUCUUGUAGUGACCUCACAUGCUCAGCUCAAAUCAAAAAAAGAAAUGCUUAUGUUUCUGCACAAUUCGCUCAAUUGCAUCGGCAUUGCUAAAUCAGGUGUAUGUGUUAACAUUGUGUUUUAAUCGAGCUAAUCACAUGGAAGAUGGAUAGACCAACACAUUAUCAAACUUGUUGGCGUCAAGCUCACCAGGUAGCCUCUGAAGGUGGCCUGGAUCCUCGCGGUCGCGGCCUCCUGGAAAGGGGUGGCAUACAGGUUGAGGUCAUCCUCUGCCUCGGGGGGCGUCAGGCGUAUCACUGCCGCAUCGGCGGCCGCCAUGGCCACCGCCACGGCGUGCUUGCUCUGCUCAAGUUCGUGCUCCGCCACCGCCACCGCCACCGACACCGACAGACCGCCAGGUUCCAGGGCCAACGACGACGGUGCGGCGACGAUCUUGACCGGCGGCGCAGGCCUCCGGAAGCUCCAUCGCCUCUUCUCCCUCAGGUUGGCAGCCACCGGCAGCUCGGCCAAAGGCGUCGAGUCACACCGUGACUGCCCCCACUUGUCCCCUCUCCGGCCACCACCCUUCUUCCCGGCCAAGAUGCUCCUCAGCCACCUCCCGGCCUUCCCCAUUGUCGGCACCUUUGAUGAACCGCCCUCAGCCACAACAAAGCCGACAGACUCAUGAACUAUAUUAUAGCCCCCGGCAACAAAUUAAGAACCCUAUGCAUUGCAAGCGCCAUCACGAACCCGCCAACCACCCCGGCCGCGCCGCGCGAGCUUGGAACAGUAAUACAACGUGUCAGUCAUCCGACGCGGGCCGCCGAGCAAUGGCAUAGCGAAGGAGCACGAGCUCGCGGCGCGGUGGCGCCCGCUCCCCACUUCCAUCUCCCUCCUCUCUCUCUCCUCCUCGCCGCCGCCACAUGCCACCGCUACGGGAGCGCACAGAGGCGAAAGAGCGGCGAGAGGAGCNUUUGAUUAUUUGAAUUACCAGGAUGAUCUGAAGCACCCAAAAGAAGUAGAGGACAUGACGGGAGAAGGGAACAAGAAGCUUCGUUUAUCAUUGAUGUUAUGUUGUGCACUUGUUGGGCCUUGAACCUUUAUGUGUAGAGGAGUCGAUGAAUGAUGUAUUGUAAUUCAUGUGAUGUGUUACUGAAAUGAAAUAUAUACAACUAAUUUGCAAUAUUUUAUUCUUGUGUAUUUGUUUUUUAAUUGGUCUAUCCUGAGAUAUACAUGCUUUUAGUAAAAUAAUGC
RNAcentral lists this long non-coding RNA (5348 nucleotides) under Hordeum vulgare. RNAcentral describes it as "long non-coding RNA (HVUL_LNC010527)". The record is from RNAcentral. Lineage: Eukaryota; Viridiplantae; Streptophyta; Magnoliopsida; Poales; Poaceae.